CCUACGAGAGGCUGCAGUCGAGAAUCAUUCACAAUGGGGGAAACCCUGAUGGUGCGACGCCGCGUGGGGGAAUGAAGGUCUUCGGUUUGUAAACCCCUGUCAUGUGGGAACAAAUUAAAAAGAUAGUACCACAAGAGGAAGAGACGGCUAACUCUGUGCCAGCAGCCGCGGUAAUACAGAGGUCUCAAGCGUUGUUCGGAAUCACUGGGCGUAAAGCGUGCGUAGGCUGUUUCGUAAGUCGUGUGUGAAAGGCGCGGGCUCAACCCGCGGACGGCACAUGAUACUGCGAGACUAGAGUAAUGGAGGGGGAACCGGAAUUCUCGGUGUAGCAGUGAAAUGCGUAGAUAUCGAGAGGAACACUCGUGGCGAAGGCGGGUUCCUGGACAUUAACUGACGCUGAGGCACGAAGGCCAGGGGAGCGAAAGGGAUUAGAUACCCUGGUAGUC
RNAcentral lists this ribosomal RNA (446 nucleotides) under uncultured bacterium. RNAcentral's name for it is "partial 16S ribosomal RNA". It matches the Rfam family "Bacterial small subunit ribosomal RNA", at positions 338 to 795 of the family's 1533-position model. The record is from RNAcentral.